Molecule: ribosomal RNA, 256 nt
Filed under: uncultured soil bacterium
Lineage: Bacteria
Description: partial 16S ribosomal RNA
Rfam family: Bacterial small subunit ribosomal RNA
Source: RNAcentral
AGGACGAACGCUGGCGGCGUGCUUAACACAUGCAAGUCGAGCGGUAAGGCCCUUCGGGGUACACGAGCGGCGAACGGGUGAGUAACACGUGAGCAAUCUGCCCUUCACUUUGGGAUAACUACCGGAAACGGUGGCUAAUACCGGAUAUGACCGCUCCCGGCAUCGGGUGGUGGUGGAAAGUUCUGGCGGUGGAGGAUGAGCUCGCGGCCUAUCAGCUUGUUGGUGGGGUAAUGGCCUACCAAGGCGACGACGGGUA